RNAcentral lists this small nucleolar RNA (201 nucleotides) under Cavia porcellus (domestic guinea pig). RNAcentral describes it as "Small nucleolar RNA U3". It matches the Rfam family "Small nucleolar RNA U3". Rfam says of the family: Small nucleolar RNAs (snoRNAs) are involved in the processing and modification of rRNA in the nucleolus. There are two main classes of snoRNAs: the box C/D class, and the box H/ACA class. The record is from Rfam by way of RNAcentral. Lineage: Eukaryota; Metazoa; Chordata; Mammalia; Rodentia; Caviidae.
AAGACCACACUUUCAAAGAUCAUUUCUCUCAUUUGCUACCAGAGAAGUUUCUCUGAUCUUAUAGAGUACUAGAAGCAGGCACAGUGCUCUACUCUGAGCAUGAAACUGACACUUGGCAUUGCUUUACUGUAACUGCUAUUUGCUAUUGAUGAUCAGUCUUCGUUUCCUUUGGAGAGCAGGAGGAAGAGGAUACAGUGUAGU